This 650-nucleotide long non-coding RNA is filed under the name Oryza sativa tropical japonica subgroup. Its description in RNAcentral is "lncRNA OsAzu_04g0016100". RNAcentral also lists the same sequence under 1 other name. Lineage: Eukaryota; Viridiplantae; Streptophyta; Magnoliopsida; Poales; Poaceae. The record is from RNAcentral.
ACGGCCGGCCGGCGUGCGGCGGCCGGCCGGCACGGCGGCCCCUGCCCUUUCCUUGACCAAACCUCGAGCUCUAGCAACCGGUCGCCAGCAAGCACCCGACAGCUGCCGCUCUCGACAAGCUCGACGGAGCCUCCUCUCUCACCACACGCCGUUGUCUCCGUCUUGCAUAAGUUGUUUCGAUCCAAUUUUCUCAGCUCCUUUCCUCUCCUUUUUUUUCUUCGUAGCGUGCAGCACAAGAGCGCACUCCAGCAAGCAGCGAGCACCACAAGGUUGCUGAUGCUCCAGCCUCCAUCAUGAUGCUGACCAGCAAUGGAAGUACAAAUCCAAAGGCAAGGGCUGGAAGCAUUGGAGAACAAACAAGAUUAGUUCCACUUCAGUUCUUUGCGGAUGCAGUUUUUCAAGUUUCCACUGUUGUUGCAGAAGCACGCUAGUAUCAAGUGGUUUAGAUUCGUUUUCAAGAACAUGUGUUGUCUUUUAUGUUUUUAUCGUUUCGAUCUGAGCGAUGAUAGCAUCAGCUCAUCAGCACAUCUGAAGUGUGUAUCAUAUGUUUGUGAGAGGAAUUUUUUGUCAACUUUUCAGCUCCACUUUGUACUACAAAAGUAUAUGUAAACUGAAGAAUCAAUGUAAUUGAGUAUUUUUCUAUUGAUAAU